GACGAACGCUGGCGGCGUGCUUAACACAUGCCAGUCGAACGGAAAGGCCCUGCUUGCAGGGUACUCGAGUGGCGAACGGGUGAGUAACACGUGGGUGAUCUGCCCUGCACUUCGGGAUAAGCCUGGGAAACUGGGUCUAAUACCGGAUAGGAGCCAUUUUUAGUGUGAUGGUUGGAAAGUUUUUUCGGUGUAGGAUGAGCUCGCGGCCUAUCAGCUUGUUGGUGGGGUAAUGGCCUACCAAGGCGGCGACGGGUAGCCGGCCUGAGAGGGUGGACGGCCACAUUGGGACUGAGAUACGGCCCAGACUCCUACGGGAGGCAGCAGUGGGGAAUAUUGCACAAUGGGCGCAAGCCUGAAGCAGCGACGCCGCGUGGGGGAUGACGGCCUUCGGGUUGUAAACUCCUUUCGCUAGGGACGAAGCUUUCUGUGACGGUACCUAGAUAAGAAGCACCGGCUAACUACGUG
RNAcentral lists this ribosomal RNA (465 nucleotides) under uncultured bacterium. RNAcentral describes it as "partial 16S ribosomal RNA". It matches the Rfam family "Bacterial small subunit ribosomal RNA", at positions 28 to 507 of the family's 1533-position model. The record is from RNAcentral.